RNAcentral lists this long non-coding RNA (1257 nucleotides) under Fukomys damarensis (Damara mole-rat). Its description in RNAcentral is "lncRNA (ENSFDAG00000031284.1)". The record is from RNAcentral. Lineage: Eukaryota; Metazoa; Chordata; Mammalia; Rodentia; Bathyergidae.
CACCAAGAUGCCCUCCAACCACGGACAAGAACCUCAGAACCAAGAGCCAAAACAGGCCUUUCUCUCUUUUCAGUUGGUUAUCUCGGUAUUUGUCACAGAGAUGGAAACCUAACACAGAAGUUUAUGUUGGCGAUGGUGAAACAUUUCUGGUUAUAGAGAGUAGUGACGGUAGAUGGUACUGGGAAUACUUUUAUUGCCACCAUAUUCUACCCUUACAAAUGGCUAAAAUAAUAAUUACGUUACAAACUGUUUGUCACAGUACUAAAAAUAAUGUUAGGGAAGAAGCUGAUACAGUGUUGUGCUAUCACCAACAGUUAUGGGGCAUCAUUCCCAUCAGCAGCCAGGGUGAGGGUGAGGACCGACAGACCCUGCGUCUUCCGGAGGCUGCCUUUCAGCAGAAGGGGAAAGGAUUCCGACCUGAGCAAGUGCCCGCACGCAUUACUAGCUUGUGAACCUGACACUGUGAAAACAGCGAGACACAUGGAAGGACAACCACCUCAAAAAAGACUCGAGACACACACCGCAGAGAGAAAGAUGGAUCAAAUACAUCAUCUGAAGCACAAGUGUUAGAAUGGACAGAGGGAGAGUUUAAAUAAACAUGAAUAGUACGCCUAAAGGACUAUAAGGAACAUAUUGGCAACAUGAAAGAACAAAUAAAAAAAUAAUUUUAAAGUAAGUACAAAGAUAGGUAUCAAAAAUAUAACAAUAAGGGCUGGAGAUUUAGCUCAGUGGCACAGUGCCUACCUUGCAAGCAUAAGAUCCUGAGUUCAAUCCCUGGUACAAGGGGCUGCGGAUUUAGCUCAGUAGUUCCACCGGCUGCCUCACAAGUGUGCCUGUAGUCCCAACUAUUUCGGAGACUGAGGCAGGAACAUAACUUGAGCCCCAAGUUUGGAACUAGCCUGGGCAACACCAUGAGACUCUAAAAAAUGUACAUACAUACUUAUAUGAAUCUAUUUCAAUAGGAAUAUAACAUGAUAAAUAUGAUGGAUAUCUCGAGAGAACUAAAGAACAUAAUAGAUGGUGUAAGUAAUAGGAAAGAGAGCGGAAGAGAGAAAGCUAAACUACAAUAUCAGCUUAAGGAAUACACCAGAAGGGAGCAUGAAAGGGCAAGAGCUAUGUCUUGGCUUGUAUCUAGAUGUCCCCCAAAGCCUCAUGCACUCAUUUGUGGGGCUUUUCAGAGGUGGCCGUAUCUAGAGUUGGUAUUUUUGUCCCAGGAACAAGAAAAAGUAACUAAAACAAAUUAUAAAACAGCAAAAG